UUCGUAGGUGGCCAACUAAGUCAGACGUGAAAUCCCUCAGCUCAACUGGGGAACUGCGUCUGAUACUGGUGUGGCUUGAGUGCAGGAGAGGAACGCGGAAUUCCAGGUGUAGCGGUGAAAUGCGUAGAUAUCUGGAGGAACACCGGUGGCGAAGGCGGCGUUCUGGACUGCAACUGACACUGAGGAACAAAGCAGGGAGCAAACG
This 205-nucleotide ribosomal RNA is filed under the name uncultured bacterium. RNAcentral describes it as "partial 16S ribosomal RNA". It matches the Rfam family "Bacterial small subunit ribosomal RNA", at positions 568 to 774 of the family's 1533-position model. The record is from RNAcentral.